CCUUUCUGCACAGGGUUGUCAUUCUGAUUGAUGUUCCCAUUCUCUACUGCUGUAUAAUGAUCCACCCAAAAUUUACAGCUUAAAAAAAAAUCAUUUUGCUCAGGAAUCUGCAAUUUGGGCAGAGUUCAGUAGUAAAAGCUCAUCUCUGCUCCAUAUUGUUUCAUCUGGGAUUUUUGGUGGGGAGGAGGAGAGGAGAGGUGCUGAGGCUAGAAAUUCUACUUCCAAGAUGGCUCACUUACAUAACUGGCAAGCUGGGAGCUCAUUUGAGGCUGAGAACCAAGGGAGCCUCGGAGUUCAGAUUCAAGACGGAACACCUGUUGGAAGUAGUUUCAAAGAAUUUGGGCUGCACUUCCAGUGGAAGUCCUGGCAGAUGACGUCAUUUCCUCAAGGUUCAGCUCAGAUAAAACCAGAAUGAAACUUAGUCUAGUGGGGUUUCAUCAAAUAAAUACCCACUUACAUCCCAAAGCCUGAGAAUCCUCUCUUCAAAAGCUAUUCGUUGAGCACCUGUUCUAAAGCAAGGACUGUGCCAGGGGCCGUGACAUGAGAUUGGU
Molecule: long non-coding RNA, 551 nt
Organism: Canis lupus familiaris (dog)
Lineage: Eukaryota; Metazoa; Chordata; Mammalia; Carnivora; Canidae
Exons: 3
Source: RefSeq, a predicted model, not a curated record